AUUUAUAUAGUUUAUAAAAACAUUACAUUUUCACUGUAAAAAUAAAGAAAACUUUUAUAAAUA
RNAcentral lists this transfer RNA (63 nucleotides) under Sinocapritermes mushae. RNAcentral describes it as "tRNA-Glu". It matches the Rfam family "tRNA". From Rfam's summary of the family: Transfer RNA (tRNA) molecules are approximately 80 nucleotides in length. Their secondary structure includes four short double-helical elements and three loops (D, anti-codon, and T loops). RNAcentral also lists the same sequence under 1 other name. The record is from RNAcentral. Lineage: Eukaryota; Metazoa; Arthropoda; Insecta; Blattodea; Termitidae.